RNAcentral lists this ribosomal RNA (490 nucleotides) under uncultured bacterium. RNAcentral's name for it is "partial 16S ribosomal RNA". It matches the Rfam family "Bacterial small subunit ribosomal RNA", at positions 28 to 507 of the family's 1533-position model. The record is from RNAcentral.
GAUGAACGCUCGCUACAGGCUUAACACAUGCAAGUCGCGGGGCAGCAUGGGGGUUGCUUGCAACUCCCGAUGGCGACCGGCGCACGGGUGAGUAACGCGUAUCCAACCUGCCCUUCACCACGGGAUAACCCGGCGAAAGUCGGACUAAUACCGUAUGUUGUCCAUUGACGGCAUCCGAUUUGGACGAAAGGCUUUGCGGUGAAGGAUGGGGAUGCGUCCGAUUAGCCAGACGGCGGGGUAACGGCCCACCGUGGCUACGAUCGGUAGGGGUUCUGAGAGGAAGGUCCCCCACACUGGAACUGAGACACGGUCCAGACUCCUACGGGAGGCAGCAGUGAGGAAUAUUGGUCAAUGGGCGUAAGCCUGAACCAGCCAAGUAGCGUGCAGGAUGACGGCCCUAUGGGUUGUAAACUGCUUUUAUGCGGGGAUAAAGUGGCCCACGUGUGGGCUUUUGCAGGUACCGCAUGAAUAAGGACCGGCUAAUUCCGUG